RNAcentral lists this ribosomal RNA (460 nucleotides) under uncultured bacterium. RNAcentral's name for it is "partial 16S ribosomal RNA". It matches the Rfam family "Bacterial small subunit ribosomal RNA", at positions 338 to 795 of the family's 1533-position model. The record is from RNAcentral.
CCUACGGGAGGCAGCAGUGAGGAAUAUUGGUCAAUGGACGAGAGUCUGAACCAGCCAAGUAGCGUGAAGGAUGACUGCCCUAUGGGUUGUAAACUUCUUUUAUACAGGAAUAAAACGAGGCACGUGUGCCUUUAUGCAUGUACUUUAUGAAUAAGGAUCGGCUAACUCCGUGCCAGCAGCCGCGGUAAUACGGAGGAUCCGGGCGUUAUCCGGAUUUAUAGGGUUUAAAGGGAGCGUAGAUGGGUUGUUAAGUCAGUGGUGAAGGUUUGCGGCUCAACCGUAAAAUUGCAAUUGAUACUGGCAGUCUUGAGUACAGUUGAGGUAGGCGGAAUUCGUGGUGUAGCGGUGAAAUGCUUAGAUAUCACGAAGAACCCCGAUUGCGAAGGCAGCUUACUAAACUGUGACUGACAUUGAUGCUCGAAAGUGUGGGUAUCAAACAGGAUUAGAUACCCUUGUAGUC